This 6029-nucleotide long non-coding RNA is filed under the name Lactuca sativa (garden lettuce). Its description in RNAcentral is "long non-coding RNA (LSAT_LNC003316)". Lineage: Eukaryota; Viridiplantae; Streptophyta; Magnoliopsida; Asterales; Asteraceae. The record is from RNAcentral.
CUUCAUGUUUUAAAAAGCAAAUGAGAUAAGAAGAAAUUAGUUAAUUAAUAAGAAAAAAAGAUACAUGCUAUUGUUUAAAGAUAUAACAGGAAACAUAUUGCUAUUUUUUGUGCAUAAAACAUUUUAAACAACGAAUAAAAAAAUAAACACAAAUGUGCUCUUGUUGAACCUCUUAGUCCUUUUGAAGUGAAAUUAAAUAUUAUUUGAUAUCAAACAAAUUCAUAAAUACAACAAAAGAUUACAACAGGUUUUUUGUAUAUGUUCAUCCCGAGUUUUACUGAAUAAUUACAAAUUAGUGUUUAUAAAGAUAAUGUGUUGAAUUAAAGUAAGUCUAUGUAUGUUUUGAAAAUAUCAUAUAGUUUUACUGCUUUUUGUCAUGUGUUUCUUCGUCCACUUCGCUGUGGUUUUUGUAUUUCAUUCAUUUGGGACAUGAUGUUUUCUGUGUAGUAUCUGUGAAAUGGAUAGAUGUUGGUUAAGUGUUGGCUAUAAAUAAAAAGCUAUAUUUUAGUCAUACCUGGAUGUUCUAAUUGGAGGCAUUUUCCUGUUUCACAUGAUUUAGUAGGGGUGAAGGACUCCAUAUUUGUAGUGGUUUGUUGGUCCAUUGUUGUCGAAGGUGUAGUUGGUGGUCUUCUAGUUGAAUUGAUAGUUGGUUGUGGACUUUUUAUAUCAUUGGUUGUGGUGACUAUGAAACGGAUAUUUUUAGUUGAUGGAAGUUUUGUGCAUUGUACAAAAACAUUCUUUGUCAACCCUUUAAAACGUUGCAGUGGUUCCGGUAAAGUCAGUGGUCAAAAUUACACACACUGGAACAAUUCCCACAAUCAUAAUAAACAUGCAAACUUGGUGUCUCUUCUAAAAGUGAACUCUUGCAUGAACGACGGGGGACUAUCGUAUUGGAAGUAGAAGCCAUUUGUCGUCGUUUUGGAGGCAUCACAAGAAGGCAUUUACUGAAAUGGAAAUCCAAAUUUCAUUGACUUGUAACAUACUUUUUAUGUAAUUCAUAUGGAACAUUAGAUUCUAAAAAGGUGUAGUUGAAAGUAACUAUUAUGAUUAGUAACUAACUUAUGGAGUAUAUAUUAAAUAACAUUUGGAAGAGAUUAAUAACAUACUCUAUUAUUGUUUUAACCCAUGGAUUCAUUGAACAUCAAAGAUAAGAAAUAUAUUUGCAACAACAAAAUUAGUCAUUAAUCAACUGAUAAUGGUAUAUAUUCAACUAAAGCUUGUAAAUAGGAUAAAAUUGAAAAAAUGACCAUUCUAUUAAAAUUUAUGCCUAAAGGACCAUUAUUGUAAUUGAGUAUUGAUUUAGGACCAAAUUAGUAAACUUAUGUACACAAAACAUAUUCAGUGAAAGGGUUAAAGACAACUUACCAAAUUUCUAAAGAUCCAAGGUAGAAUUGAAUAUUAGAUUCCUUAUCACAAAAUGUUUAUAAUUUUUAUAUUAACAUAAAUUCAUGAGAAACCAAAGGGUGUUAAAAUGUCUAACUUGCAGAGGCAAUGAAGAAAGAGAGAAAAAUUGAAAUUGAAUAUGGACAGAAAUCAAUAUCAAAUACAAAGGAUAGACAACAUACCUAGAAAUUCAAAUUGUAAUUGAGUGUAGUCGGUUGAAGGCGGAUACAAAGCAGAACCGUUUGUUGGCGACAAAAACGUCAAACCUAGAAUGAAAACUUAAACGUAUUGAGUUGGAAAUGAAGAAAUUUAUAUGAAAAUGGAACAGAAAAUCAAUAUGAUAUAAUUGCGAUAUAGUAUAGACGAGGUAGGCGUCUAGGAGUAUGACUAAAGAAGUAUUUCAAAAAUCAGUAAUAUUUAAAGAGAAAAUUUUAAAUUGACAUACCUUAUUAAUUGGAAUUGUUGGAUUCCUAGUUGUAAGUGCUCGAAGAUAAAGACGGUGGAAACGUCAAACACAGAUUUUGUAAUCAAAGAAAGAACGAAUUAAUAUGAUGGUGUUGGGAAUUUGCACAUAUUCACAAAGAUUAGAGAAAGUUGUUAUGUAUUGAAAGCAAGAAAGAGUUCACAAUUGACAUACCUUAUGAGUCGUAAUUGUUUGAGUCCAAAUUCUAAGUGCUUGGAGAAAAAGAUGGUGGUUGAGAGGCUCUGAAACGAAGUAGGACUAAUUAAUUUUAAACUAAAACAUGAAUAAAGUUCAAAUUUAGCACUAACUUUAUGAUGAACUCAACUAAAAACAUAGAAAGAAAAAUGAUACAUUUUACAAAUUAUAAAAAUAUAAACAAAAACAAUAGAAGGAACAAACACAAAAAGACGACACAAAAAAAGAUGUAAACAAAAAAUCAAAAUCAAAUAAAAACAUUAUAUGACCUACCGAAAUUCAAAAAUACAACAAAGAGCACAUGCUGUUUGUGGUGGUAAUUGAGCACCGACGGUCAAACCCACAAAGUCGAAGACAUCGCUCAAAAACACGGAAGGAUUAGAAGGAAUAGCAAUUGAAUUGAAAAUCACAAUAUAAUUGAUACAUUAUACGACAUACCAUAAUUCGUCAUAGAAACAAAUAGAAAUUCGUAGCCUUCAACAUACCAGAAUUUGUCACAGCAAUAGAUAGAUAUUCCUAGUCUCCUUAUAUCAUUAAUGAAAAUCCUGAAAUAAGAUUUCAGAAUUCCAGUUACCAAAUAUUAGAGUAAACAUAAAAAGUUAAAGGGGUUAUUUUGUCAUUAUUAAAGUGUUUUUAACACAUUUGACUAAUAUACAAAGAAUAAGUACUCAAUUAGAAAAUUAUUCUUCAUGAUGCAAGAAAUAUUAUGUUUUUCUUUUAUUCAACUUUUGUCGCUAACAUACAACACAAUACAAAAAAAAAAUGGUUCACUAUGGGAUUUCCAGGGUAUUUGUUGACUCACCUUCUUUUAUAAUGUCAAAAUUAGCAUUCUUUAUGAUAAAUGACCAAUGAUUCCAUCUACUAUUGUAAAAGCUUUAGUCUUUUUGAUAAAUAACCAAUAAUAUAUGGGUGGUGAGUCCUAGAUUAUACAAAUUCUUAUUUAGGGUGCAUUCUUUUGAACGCUUUUGGAAGUUUCUUCAGAUAACCGUAUCAGGGUUUUUUUUUUCAGUUUAUGGUUGUUUUACAACUUACUUUAGUUGUCAUUUGACCUUUUUGCCCCUGUGAGGCUGUGGCUUACCUGGUUUUUGUUCCAAUCUUGAUUGCAGUAUACACCUGCUGUUGAUACACUUAGAUGCAAGCCAAGUUAACUACACCAGAGAUUAAGAUAAUGACUAUUUGUAUAGAAAUUUUACUUUGUGGUGAAAAGAGUCGUUUUGUAUUUUUUUUUUUGGAAAUUGGCCAUUAACUGUUACUGUGUGUGGGUGUUUCGGGCUAAGAUAUUGAUUUAUCUGUUUGUGUAUUUUAUCCCUUCUUUCAUAGUUCUUUUUGUUGAAAAGAGUCGUUUUUUUGUUUAUAUGCAAUCAUUUUUUUUCUUUAACAUAUAGUAAUAAAUACAAUUAGUUAAACACGUUAAGCAUGCCUUUAGUCGUAUUAUGUAUCCAAUUGUAUCGAAUCAAAUCAUCCUAAUAUUACAUUAAACGCUUUUGGUCUUAAAUGAGUCAGAGGAAACUUUUGUUUAUACUUGAAUGAGUGAAUUAUUUGAGACUAAAAUCUGAUGGAAUGGCGUUUUAACAUUGAAAAGAAUUUGCUCUUCUUUUCUUCACAUGAAUUGAUGAUCAACAGCAUUUGUAUGAGAGUGUUUUGAAAUGAGAGCAUAGAUUCUUGUCAUUACAAUUUGUAAAACCUCUCUUAAUCAUUACAUAAAUAAUUUGAAAUAGCUUCGAGUUAUUGACUCUUUGUUGGAUUCACAACUUUAGGGUUAGUUGGGGUGACAAAUUAUGUUCAUUCUUACGAUGUUCUGACCAGGAAAUGGACCAGGUAGUUCUAAUUCGUUCUUAUAUUUGACUUAACUUUUCUAGAAGUCAAUGCUAAUGCUUUUUUUUUCAGAAUUCGACAAGCUGGAGAACCACCUUCACCCAGGGUUGCUCAUGCAGCUGCUGUUGUUGGAACAAUGGUUGUAUUUCAGGUAACCAUAAUUAUGAACUAAAGUGAAAAAAGGAGAUCUUUUAGCCAUUUAUCUGAUUUUUGGUUUUUGAUAAACCGAUUGUGCAUGAUUAGGGCGGCAUUGGUUGAUAAAAUAAUAAAUAUUAAGAUUCUUUCUCCAUUUCGAGGAGGUGUCUCGCAUGUGUGGACUUCCCUUUAACUUUUACUUAAUUAAGUAAUUAAGCUAUAUAGACUAUUACUAAGUUGAUAACAUCUAGGUUUUGGAACAAUUAUAUAUAUAAAAGCCUUUAUCGUUCUAUUCCUCAUGUCCUUGAUCCAUGAUCUUUGUUUGUUUUCUAAACAACUAUUUCUAUAACUUAACUUUUACAAUACUGUUAAAUUGAACUAAUAAAUUAACAAAAUAGAAGGUUAUAUAAUAAUGCAACUUUUGACAUUGUUGUUGUUUUUAUAUGUAGGAUCCUAAACAUGGACACUGGUGGCUACAAUUUGGAUCAGGGGUGCUAAUAGGAUAUUGGCCAUCUUUUUUUAUUCAGUCAUCUACAAAAAGAAGCAAGUAUGAUACAAUUUGGAGGGGAGAUAGUGAACACAAGAUCAGGGGGUAUCACACAUCAACUCAAAUUGGAAGUGGCCAUUUUGCAGAUGAAGGUUUUGGAAAAGCUUCAUACUUUAGGAAUUUACAGGUUGUUGAUUGGGACAACAGUUUGCUUCCUUUAACAAAUCUCCAUGUAUUAACUGAUAAUCCAAAUUGUUACAAUAUAAAAGCCGGAAAAAAUAAUGUUUGGGCGAAUUGUAUUUAUGAUGGAGGUCCAGGAAGGAAAGGAGGUUGUCAAUAGAGAAAAUUGCAUAGUAGUAACAAUAUUUUUAUUUACAUUAUUAAUUCUUUCCCUCUAGAGGAUUUUUGGAAUUUUUUGUCUAAAAAAGAUCCCUUUUUAAGUUUUAUUUGUAGUAGGUUGCCAUAAUUAAGCCAUGUUAAUGAGGGCUCUUGUAUAUUAGCGUUAGGGGUAGUAACUGAUUUUAUAAUGUAUUAUGGUUUGUAUUUCGUAAUGUGGUGAUUUGAUUUUUCAUUAUAACAGCAAACAAUAACCUAACAACAAAAUAAAUAGCCUACCUUGACAACAUAUAUAGGUGGAACUUUUGCACUUUAUUCUUCAAUAUGCGGACAUGCUAAAGUAAGCCUUUUACCAAAUCAACAAACUGCUGAUGAAUCACUGUGUACAUAUAAAUUCAAGCAAUCUAAUGAUGGGAAAUAUUGUCUAGAGGGUUUCGUAACUUUAAUUUCACAGAGUAGGAAAGACAAUCAAAAUCAUAUGACGGAGAACAUACCAAGAAUUGAAAUUGCAAUUGAGUGUAGAUUAUUGGAGGCGGCAACAGAAGGCGUCGUCGGAGAUGUCAAACCCAUAUUUGAAAUCCUAAUUUAUUGAUAGAGAAGCCGUAGGAGAUCUCAAAUCCACACAGUCGGAAAACAGAAAAAGAAGAGGAGUCUGAAGAUUUUGGAGAAACGUAUAAAAACGAUGAUGGAGGAAUAUUCUCUAGACGAUUUCAUAACUUCAAUUUCACAGAGUCGGAAUAUAAGAAAAAAGCAAAUUCGAGAUUGAAACAAAAUCAAUAUCGAAUAGAACAAAACAUACCCAGACAUCAAAUUUCAAUUGAUUGUGGAUGGUUGGAGGCAGCAACAACCGUUUUUUGGCAAGAAAUUGAAACUUAGACAGAAAAUCAAAAUCGAAUAGAAGAAAACAUACCCAGACUUCAAAUUUCAACUGAUUGUAGAUGGUUGGAGGCAGCAACAACCGUUUUUUGGCAAGAGAAGUUGAAAUUCUAAGUUCUUGAUUGAUAAGGUGUAUGAGAUGUCAAACCCAUAAUUCAAAUUCGGAAUUGUUGAUUGAGAAGCGUAUUCAGAAUUCUUGAUUGAGAAGCGUAUGAGAUGUCAAGAAGAGAAGUCUGAAGAAAUGGUAGAAACUUAUGGAAGCGAUCAUGGGGGUAAAAUUUUAAAAGUGUUGAUUGUUAUGGAGAAUUUGGAGAAACCUAAUGUGGCGAAACUCUAAAC